RNAcentral lists this RNase P RNA (349 nucleotides) under Clostridia bacterium. Its description in RNAcentral is "RNase P RNA component class A". It matches the Rfam family "Bacterial RNase P class A". Rfam says of the family: Ribonuclease P (RNase P) is a ubiquitous endoribonuclease, found in archaea, bacteria and eukarya as well as chloroplasts and mitochondria. Lineage: Bacteria; Bacillati; Bacillota; Clostridia. The record is from RNAcentral.
UGGGUAGGCCAGACAAUCGCGUACAUCUUUGUAUGAGGAAAGUCCGGGCUCCAUAGGGCAAGGAUGCCGGAUAACGUCCGGCGUAGGUAACUAUAGGGAAAGUGCAACAGAAACAUUCCGCCGAAACGGGUAAUGCCGUGGUAAGGUUGAAAUGGUGAGGUAAGAGCUCACCGGCGUCAUGGAGACAUGGCGGCCGUGUAAACCCCAUCCGGAGCAAGGUCAAAAUUGGGCGCAAAAGGUGGCUGCCCGUCGCCGCCCAGGAUGGUAGACCGCAUGAGCGUGCAGUAAUGUUACGCCACAGAUAGAUGAUUGUCUAAUACAGAACCCGGCUUAUAGGUCUGCCCACGAU